RNAcentral lists this ribosomal RNA (468 nucleotides) under uncultured bacterium. RNAcentral describes it as "partial 16S ribosomal RNA". It matches the Rfam family "Bacterial small subunit ribosomal RNA", at positions 28 to 507 of the family's 1533-position model. The record is from RNAcentral.
GACGAACGCUGGCGGCGUGCUUAACACAUGCAAGUCGAACGGAAAGGCCCUGCUUUUGUGGGGUGCUCGAGUGGCGAACGGGUGAGUAACACGUGUGUAACCUGCCCUUGACUUUGGGAUAACUUCAGGAAAAUGGGGCUCAUACCGGAUAGGAGCUCCUGCUGCAUGGUGGGGGUUGGAGAGUUUCGGCGGUUGGGGAUGGACUCGCGGCUUAUCAGCUUGUUGGUGGGGUAGUGGCUUACCAAGGCUUUGACGGGUAGCCGGCCUGAGAGGGUGACCGGCCACAUGGGGACUGAGAUACGGCCCAGACUCCUACGGGAGGCAGCAGGGGGGAAUAUUGCACAAUGGGCGGAAGCCUGAUGCAGCAACGCCGCGUGCGGGAUGACGGCCUUCGGGGUGUAAACCGCUUUCGCCUGUGACGAAGCGUGAGUGACGGUAAUGGGUAAAGAAGCACCGGCUAACUACGUG